RNAcentral lists this small RNA (3651 nucleotides) under Pan troglodytes (chimpanzee). Its description in RNAcentral is "retained intron". The record is from RNAcentral. Lineage: Eukaryota; Metazoa; Chordata; Mammalia; Primates; Hominidae.
ACGCCCCGCCAAGCCCCGCCCCUCAGGCCGGGGCGCGACCGCGGAUCCGCAGUUCCCGGGCCAGCCUGGGGCGGCCGGCCAGGAACCACCCGUUGAGGUGUCUUCUCUUUAGGGAUGGUGAGGUUGGAAAAAGGCUCCUGUAACCCUCCUCCAGGAUGAACCACCUGCCAGAAGACAUGGAGAACGCUCUCACCGGGAGCCAGAGCUCCCAUGCUUCUCUGCGCAACAUCCAUUCCAUCAACCCCACACAACUCAUGGCCAGGAUUGAGUCCUAUGAAGGAAGGGAAAAGAAAGGCAUAUCUGAUGUCAGGAGGACUUUCUGUUUGUUUGUCACCUUUGACCUCUUAUUUGUAACGUUACUGUGGAUAAUAGAGUUAAAUGUGAAUGGAGGCAUUGAGAACACAUUAGAGAAGGAGGUGAUGCAGUAUGACUACUAUUCUUCAUAUUUUGAUAUAUUUCUUCUGGCAGUUUUUCGAUUUAAAGUGUUAAUACUUGCAUAUGCUGUGUGCAGACUGCGCCAUUGGUGGGCAAUAGCGGUGAGUAUGCCCUGCAUGAGUGGGUCAUCUCCUCCAGUGCUGGUGGCCAAGUCCUGCUCUCAACAGGCCUGGGCUGGGAGAAGAUACAGUUCUAAUGCAGGUGGAAUCCCACUAGCUUUCCUGAGUCCCGUUUCCUCCAUACUUAAGUAGGUUUAAUACUCCAGGGCUUCUUUCCAAUGUUAAUGAGUAACUAGAUUUGUCUCUUGGUGCUGAGCCAAAUGAGGAAUCUAGAAGCCCAACAGUGAUUAUUGGCCAAGCACCAAGCCACCCUCUACCUCAUUUUGCAAAUAAGAGAUGAGAGGAGACCUCUGUCACAGAGAUAUUUGGAAAAUGUCUUAUUUGGUUGAAACUGCUUAGUGAUUGUUUUCAUGACAUGGUCCGUACUUAUUUAGGUAAUUGCCUUACCCCCUCCUUUCUUCCCCACAACCCCCUAUCUUGGAGGGAAAAGCUCUCAGUCUUUCUAUUGUUGCCUUGGACUUCUCAAGGACAAGGACUUUUUUACUUCUCUGUUUCCUGGCAUCUAGCACAGAGAGCUUUGGUAUUCUUAAUAAGCAUUUAGAGAUUGAUAGAAUUACUAGCAGUUCUGCCUGACAGAUGUCUGAAUAUUUGCCUUUUGUAAAGCUUUAAUAAGUCAGUUCUAUGGGAAGAAAAUGUGGAGCUCCUCAGACUAGAGAGAACUGCUCAGAAAUAACCUGCAGUUCUGCGAUUAGAGGGUGAGAGCUGGGGUCUGGGUGGCCCAGGCCUGGGUUUCUCCAGCUGGGAAUAGGACUUGUGCUGCCCUCCUGAGUCCACUAGGGGGCGAUGUCUGUCUGGGCCAUGUCUUCUGAGCAUUCUCAGAAUCACGGGGCAGCGGUCAGACCAUCUGUUAAUCCGGAAGCUCUCAUUUCAUGGAUAUAGGCUGACAGUCUUGGCCAGACUUGACUCCCUUUCCUGAAUACUCUUUUGCUGAUAUCAUCAUAGCUUUUGAUGAUUGUACCCUCCCAUUUUUCUGCAUUUUCUACAACAGAUCCCAUUGGGAUGUUAUAUUCCUGAGUCCCCAUAUGUAUGCUAGUAUUUGUCAGACCAUCCCUCUCAAUGUUUGUUUUAGAAAAGUGUUUGACAUAUAGAUAUUCAGUGAGAGCUGUAAGACAGUAUCUUCAAUAUCUGCUUUCAGAUUAUCUGAAGAAUAAGUCUAAUUUUAGCAAAUCAUUUUAUUGCUUCUGAUUCUUGUUUUAAAAAACAUUUGCAGAGAAGAGUCUAGAAGCUGGAAGGAGGAGAAGUCAGCUGGUAUUUAAAGAGUGCAUAGUGUGAGCCUGUAAAGUUAAUUAGUGUCAGAAUAUAAAAUGCUAAACUGCCUCCUCUCCCAAGCAACUGUGUGUGUGUGUGUGAGUGUGUGUGAGAGUGUGUGUGUGUGUGUGUGUCUUUGUUAAUACUUAUUGAGCAAGAUACUUGGUGUUCCCUGUCCUCCCUUCUGUCAGUCAAGCUACUAUUGGUAUUCAUUUUGGUUAGGUUUCACCAUGCUAAAAAUAUUAGUUGAAGGAACAGUGACAAGGCUCAGGUAUUAUGGUAUCUCUGGACUUCACAACCCCUGGCGAGAGCCCUACCUAUGCACUUUACCGGUCUCUUCAUGUGCUUGUAGAGGCUUUGGAAUUGUACCUUCUGGUGGAUCAAACUUAGUUACCUAGCACACCAGCCUGCUGAAAUGUGGGAGAAGAAACCACACACAGUCAUUUAGGGAUUGUGUCACAUGUAGAAGCCCAUUUUGCCCCAGUGUGGGUCUAGGGGAGAGAGACUGAGUGAUAUGGGAAGGAGCCAGGCUAGGCACAGGUUUUUCAGGCAUUGCCUGCUCCUGGCUCAGACGGGUCUCUUGUGAAGAGGGAGGUACCUUCACAGUGUGAGAUGCCUAGUGUGAACAGUGCUGGAUUAUGUGUCUUGCAGUUGACAACGGCAGUGACCAGUGCCUUUUUACUAGCAAAAGUGAUCCUUUCGAAGGUAUGGCCUACCACUUUUUCUAUACAGUUACCAUCUUCAGUGAUGAAGCCUCGUUUUUCAGUGUGAGUUUGUGGUAACUGCAUUUCCCUUUCCUGGUCAUAUCUUCCAGCUUUUCUCUCAAGGGGCUUUUGGCUAUGUGCUGCCCAUCAUUUCAUUCAUCCUUGCCUGGAUUGAGACGUGGUUCCUGGAUUUCAAAGUGUUACCUCAAGAAGCAGAAGAAGAAAACAGACUCCUGAUAGUUCAGGAUGCUUCAGAGAGGGCAGCACUUAUACCUGGUGGUCUUUCUGAUGGUCAGUUUUAUUCCCCUCCUGAAUCCGAAGCAGGAUCUGAAGAAGCUGAAGAAAAACAGGACAGUGAGAAACCACUUUUAGAACUAUGAGUACUACUUUUGUUAAAUGUGAAAAACCCUCACAGAAAGUCAUCGAGGCAAAAAGAGGCAGGCAGUGGAGUCUCCCUGUCGACAGUAAAGUUGAAAUGGUGACGUCCACUGCUGGCUUUAUUGAACAGCUAAUAAAGAUUUAUUUAUUGUAAUACCUCACAGACGUUGUACCAUAUCCAUGCACAUUUAGUUGCCUGCCUGUGGCUGGUAAGGUAAUGUCAUGAUUCAUCCUCUCUUCAGUGAGACUGAGCCUGAUGUGUUAACGAAUAGGUGAAGAAAGUCUUGUGCUGUAUUCCUAAUCAAAAGACUUAAUAUAUUGAAGUAACACUUUUUUAGUAAGCAAGAUACCUUUUUAUUUCAAUUCACAGAAUGGAAUUUUUUUGUUUCAUGUCUCAGAUUUAUUUUGUAUUUCUUUUUUAACACCCUACAUUUCCCUUGUUUUUUAACUCAUGCACAUGUGCUCUUUGUACAGUUUUAAAAAGUGUAAUAAAAUCUGACAUGUCAAUGUGGCUAGUUUUAUUUUUCUUGUUUUGCAUUAUGUGUAUGGCCUGAAGUGUUGGACUUGCAAAAGGGGAAGAAAGGAAUUGCGAAUACAUGUAAAAUGUCACCAGACAUUUGUAUUAUUUUUAUCAUGAAAUCAUGUUUUUCUCUGAUUGUUCUGAAAUGUUCUAAAUACUCUUAUUUUGAAUGCACAAAAUGACUUAAACCAUUCAUAUCAUGUUUCCUUUGCGUUCAGCCAAUUUCAAUUAAAAUGAACUAAAUUAU